Molecule: ribosomal RNA, 502 nt
Filed under: uncultured bacterium
Lineage: Bacteria
Description: partial 16S ribosomal RNA
Rfam family: Bacterial small subunit ribosomal RNA
Source: RNAcentral
AUUGAACGCUGGCGGCAGGCUUAACACAUGCAAGUCGAGCGGAGAUGAGGUGCUUGCACCUUAUCUUAGCGGCGGACGGGUGAGUAAUGCUUAGGAAUCUGCCUAUUAGUGGGGGACAACAUUCCGAAAGGAAUGCUAAUACCGCAUACGUCCUACGGGAGAAAGCAGGGGAUCUUCGGACCUUGCGCUAAUAGAUGAGCCUAAGUCGGAUUAGCUAGUUGGUGGGGUAAAGGCCUACCAAGGCGACGAUCUGUAGCGGGUCUGAGAGGAUGAUCCGCCACACUGGAACUGAGACACGGCCCAGACUCCUACGGGAUGCAGCAGUGGGGAAUAUUGGACAAUGGGGGAAACCCUGAUCCAGCCAUGCCGCGUGUGUGAAGAAGGCCUUAUGGUUGUAAAGCACUUUAAGCGAGGAGGAGGCUACUGAGACUAAUACUCUUGGAUAGUGGACGUUACUCGCAGAAUAAGCACCGGCUAACUCUGUGCCAGCCGCCGCCUGUAA